UAAACAGGUUAAUUCUAGUUUAUUAAGUUUUGUUAACGUUUGUAAUAACAGAGAAGAAGUUAAAAGAGAAUUAUGGAAAGAACGAAACGGCAGAAUCUAUAACAACACUCAUCGAAACGGUCGAAGUUAUAACAACACUCGUCAAAACGGUUUAACUUUCUUGUUUUUGGCGAAAAAAACAAUAUGUUUAGUAUUUUUAACUUGUUCUAAUCAUGUGUAGCUAGUUAAACAAUGUGUAAUCCAUGCGACUUCUCAGUUUAACGUUAACUCGUAAUUUGAAAUCUCGGUCAAAAGAAACAAAAAAUUGAAAAAUCCGCACAAGUUCCAUCAUCAACUAUGUAUAAUAGAUACAUUUUGAAUUUGUGAAAAAAAAUCAUAAACUUUUUUUGGAGAAAACGAAACCGUAAAGUCUAUAAUAACACUUAGGAAACGGCUGAAUACAUAAAACACCAAAAAAAAA
This 460-nucleotide small RNA is filed under the name Arabidopsis thaliana (thale cress). RNAcentral's name for it is "ATSL114320". Lineage: Eukaryota; Viridiplantae; Streptophyta; Magnoliopsida; Brassicales; Brassicaceae. The record is from RNAcentral.